AGCAAUUUGGCGCAGUGGAAGCGCGCCGGGCUCAUAACCCGGAGGUCCUAGGAUCGAAACCUAGAAUUGCUA
Molecule: non-coding RNA, 72 nt
Organism: Stachybotrys elegans
Lineage: Eukaryota; Fungi; Ascomycota; Sordariomycetes; Hypocreales; Stachybotryaceae
Source: the annotation of a GenBank genome assembly